UUAAUACCUUAUUGUUGCGUUUACUUUCUUCUCAUCAUCUAGAAUGGUUAGGUAAUGACUUAACCCAAAUAAAAGAUAAAACUAAGGCAUCACUUGUAGUAAGCUUUUCGGCAAAAAUAUAUCAACCAAGUACACCAAAAAGCUAUCAUGUACUUCCAAGAAAAACUAUUAUAUUGGUUAGUCGGGUAAGACUUGCUGAGUACCCCGUACUCAGGGUUAUCCCUUGUGGCUAUCUUUUCAGAAGCACCGCAGGAGUCCACCGAGGAGGAAGCCCCGAAACCCUAGGGUAUUGUUAUGAGUCUCACAAAUACCCUUAGAAGAAGUUUUAUAAUGCUCAUCUCCUCCCGAAC
RNAcentral lists this long non-coding RNA (350 nucleotides) under Setaria viridis. RNAcentral describes it as "long non-coding RNA (SVIR_LNC006724)". The record is from RNAcentral. Lineage: Eukaryota; Viridiplantae; Streptophyta; Magnoliopsida; Poales; Poaceae.